AGGUCAGAGGGAUACUUAUACCCAUAUCCUUCGUGAGCUACUCUUGACAGCAGAGUGCUCAGCAGUUGAUCACAUUCAGUGAGAUGUACUCUUACGUCUCACUUGCAUGCCAUGUCAGUGUCUCCACACUCCUUAGUUAAGAGGACAACUAACAUACAUGGCACACAACGACCUAUACUUGAUAUAGCUAUUGUCCUAAUAAUAGUAUAUCAUUUGAUCGUGAACUUAAGGUUUAAGGACUAAACGAUAUAUCCUCCUAUAUCAAAUCAAAUAGUCUUAAAGAUUUCAUCACAUAACAAG
This 300-nucleotide long non-coding RNA is filed under the name Elaeis guineensis (African oil palm). RNAcentral describes it as "long non-coding RNA (EGUI_LNC052504)". Lineage: Eukaryota; Viridiplantae; Streptophyta; Magnoliopsida; Arecales; Arecaceae. The record is from RNAcentral.